This 1352-nucleotide long non-coding RNA is filed under the name Nicotiana tabacum (common tobacco). Its description in RNAcentral is "long non-coding RNA (NTAB_LNC010739)". Lineage: Eukaryota; Viridiplantae; Streptophyta; Magnoliopsida; Solanales; Solanaceae. The record is from RNAcentral.
ACACAAUUAAAUGACAGUUAUUUCAUUAACAACUAAAAUGGUAAUACAAUGCUUUAAUGAAACUGCCAAAACUAAAAAUAGAUCAAGUAAUUGCAAAAGCCUAACUUUCCAACGGCAACAUACCCACCGUAAUCACACAAGUGGAGUCGGGGGAGAGUAGUGUGUACGCAGACCUUACCCCUACCUUGUAGGGGUAGAACCUUGUAGGGGUAGAGAGGCUGUUUCCGAUAGACCUUCGAAAAAGCCUAACUUUCCAUGCCGCAAAAAAUCGAAUCAUAUUACAAGAGUGUUCAGACAAACGAACCAAAUUUCGAAUUCCAACCAUCAUGAUUGAAUUUCUAAAAACAAUAAAUAACACAUCCUGUACCUAAAGUUAGUGUUAUAUACCUGCAUAUCCAUAGACUUAAUUAGUCAAUAAAAUGUCAUCACCUCAUGUAGCAAGGAACAGAACAAAAGAGAAAGUAUAUACUGAAUGAUAUAAUUAAGUAACCAGAAGUGUGUCCUUUCCGACAGUUUAAGCUUUUAAGACAUGAGGCGGUCACACAAUUUGUACCAAAACACAUAGAGGUCUUUAAGUUUAAAUCUCACUGCCACCCUUCAUCAAAGAACUUCCAUGUCCUUGGACCAUCAAAAAGAAUCAAGCUCUCACGUAGCAUGUCGGCGAUAUUAUUAAGUAAAUAGAAGUGUUCUCUCUAAGUUUAACAAUGCAGCUUUAACAUACAUUGCUCCUACAAAGAUUUACUGUGUAAAUGUUUCGGACUAUCACAGGAGACAAGUGCAAGAAUAGUAUUUGUGCCAUAUCUAGUAUAAUUAUCCGUAAGAGAAAAGUGGCACCUCACCGGGGCAUAAUGCAGUAUCUUUUUAACCAAGAGGAAAAAAUAAAUUGCUUAAUAAAUCACGCAAAUGCAUUUACAAAGGAUACCUUCUUGCCAAUUGGUGUGAGCAACUAAUUUUUCCUUCGUCCAAUCCACAGCAUCAAUUCCUAGAAAUUUUGGAAAAAACAAACCCAGCUAAAGAAAUAACAUUUAAAAGGCAAAACGCAAAGGCAAAAAAGGUGGUCUUUGUACAGGUUAGGAAGUAAUAUUAAAGUUAACAUCUGGAGAACCAACAAAUUAACUUAGUUUAUACUAGAUCGUACACCAAGACAUCAUGUCAUCUACAACGCUCAUACUUGAAGCCUCUUACUAAUCUUUAAUCCAAGAUCAUACACAAGUGACAUAGUUAAGGCUUCUAACCUUGGGAAAUUGAAGAAAGAGAAGUCAUGAGCUGCUAGCCGGCGCAGUCAACGUAAAGUACUCUCUGUAAGUGUCAACACGAGCUGUUUGAACUUGAUACGACAAUGACCAACUGAA